UCUACGGGUGGCUGCAGUCGAGAAUCAUUCACAAUGGGGGAAACCCUGAUGGUGCGACGCCGCGUGGGGGAAGAAGGAAUUCGUUCUGUAAACUUCUGUUAUAAAGGAAGAAAGACGGAUGGAGGAAAUGACAUCCGAGUGACGGUACUUUAUGAGAAAGCCACGGCUAACUACGUGCCAGCAGCCGCGGUAAUACGUAGGUGGCAAGCGUUAUCCGGAAUUAUUGGGCGUAAAGAGGGAGCAGGCGGCAGCAAAGGUCUGUGGUGAAAGACUGAAGCUUAACUUCAGUAAGCCAUAGAAACCGGGCAGCUAGAGUGCAGGAGAGGAUCGUGGAAUUCCAUGUGUAGCGGUGAAAUGCGUAGAUAUAUGGAGGAACACCAGUGGCGAAGGCGACGAUCUGGCCUGCAACUGACGCUCAGUCACGAAAGCGUGGGGAGCAAAUAGGAUUAGAUACCCUAGUAGUC
Molecule: ribosomal RNA, 464 nt
Filed under: uncultured bacterium
Lineage: Bacteria
Description: partial 16S ribosomal RNA
Rfam family: Bacterial small subunit ribosomal RNA
Source: RNAcentral